This is a long non-coding RNA of Schistocerca nitens (vagrant locust), 198 nucleotides long. RefSeq lists it as uncharacterized. NCBI's taxonomy places the organism in Eukaryota, Metazoa, Arthropoda, Insecta, Orthoptera, Acrididae. The record is from RefSeq and is a predicted model, not a curated record. The transcript is spliced from 3 exons.
CGAGAGGCACACCAACACCAGCAGAUGAGUCUCCGUUUAAUACUUGGGAUAUUAUAACAGUAAGUUAUAGCUCCAGAAGUCAGUCACCAGCAGCAGAUGUCACACAGUUAUAAAAUGGGAAACUUGUAGAAUAAGCUCCAGAAGUCAGCAGCAGCAGACGUCACACAGCUAUAAUGUGAGAAGCUUGAAGAAUAAUGU